UACGGAGGGUGCAAGCGUUAUCCGGAUUCACUGGGUUUAAAGGGUGCGUAGGUGGGCAGGUAAGUCCGUGGUGAAAUCUCUGAGCUUAACUCAGAAACUGCCGUGGAUACUAUUUGUCUUGAAUAUUGUGGAGGUGAGCGGAAUAUGUCAUGUAGCGGUGAAAAUGCUUAGAUAUGACAUAGAACACCAAUUGCGAAGGCAGCUCACUACACAAUUUAUUGACGCUGAGGCACGAAAGCGUGGGGAUCAAACAGG
RNAcentral lists this ribosomal RNA (255 nucleotides) under uncultured bacterium. Its description in RNAcentral is "partial 16S ribosomal RNA". It matches the Rfam family "Bacterial small subunit ribosomal RNA", at positions 524 to 776 of the family's 1533-position model. The record is from RNAcentral.